CAGAAACGAAAAUAUCAUACAAAACCAAAUACUUCCGACAGAAUCUAAACCACGUCACCUUCAACAAAAUCUUCCUACUUUCCCUCAACGUUACCUACUCAACACAGAUUACUGGGACCCUUCUUCAGUGGGUCCCAUCUUCUGCUAUUGUGGCAAUAAAGGUGACAUACACAAACGUGUAAUUUGCAUACAUAAGAUCAAGAUGAGGUUCAAUAUCCAUCAUCAUAUACACAAAGGAGCUACAUACAAACUGGUUAUUUACUCUCAGAUAUUUAGUACAUUCAUAAGUUUCUAUGAGCAUAAUUAUCACAACACAAGGAACUCAAGUCACUUCGACAUGGUGUGCAGAUGCCCAUCACUAUGGCUGUUGAUCAAUUCAGCCACCUGAUCCUUGCAACUGCAAAAAGGGAAUGGCAAUCAUAUCAUUGAUGUUGGAAAUAAGAGGAUAUAAUGAAAUUCCAAGUCAUGACAAGAGUUCAAAGAAAAAAGAGAAGAAAAAACAAACAGCCUGUAAGAGAAAGUCAUCAGCUAGGUGUCUCAAAAUAAAACAAUUUGAAUUUAAAAAAAAGAAGCAAUCAAGGAGUUAUAAAUUAAAGGAUUAAGCCAAGCACUAAACAGAGGGCAUUAAGCUAAUAAAGGGCAGUAAAGGGACAGCAUAAAAGCAUAUGCUAAUCAACAUCAGGAAUAUAUAUGAAUGGCCUAUGCAAUUACAGAUUUCAAAUGAAGCCAUUAAGCAAACCAGCAAAAUAGCCAAAUUCAGUUACAAACCCCUACCAACAGUCAAGGGCAAUUUCAAGGUCUCACUAAACCAUGAAAAUUUAAAAGAGAUAAAUCUGAAAGUCUCACUAUUUCAGUUACAAAUCAGCGAUCAUUGACAGCAUUCAUGGGCAGUUAAAAUAUUAUCAGAAAGCAAGAGUCAUGGAAUUUCAGAAAUAUUUCAGUCAGUAAUUCGAAAGGUUUUGCACUAACCCAUACUCAACUAUAAAUAGCGGUUCCAUUCAUCAAGAAAAAAAAAACACUACUGUGCACGUAACAACACGGCCAUAAGAAAUUCAGAGGAAAAAACAAAAGAACCAGAUUACUGGUACACAGUGAGAGAAAGAGAGAUUACGACAUAAAUGUUUUAGAGAAAAUAGAGCACACGCACAGUUCUAUCAGAGCAUACACGCAACACACAGAGAAGAAGGAAGCGUACAUUCAGGUGAGCAUUCAAAAUAUAAAAAGGCUCUGUUUCAUUUGAUUUAUGUUAUAGACUUAUAUGCUUAUUUCAUAAACGUUUCCAAUUGAGCAUAUAAAAUACUUAUUGGUUUCAACGGAAACAUAUAUAUUUACACUCAUACGUGUUAUGAUUCACUUCUAGUAACUGUUUACCCAAAUCGAUUAUUUAUGAUGGAUCAAGUUCAUGCCGUAAAAUUGAAUAAAAAGGAUAAAAAUCAUUACUGAAAUCCUCUAGGUUUUGUGCCGAUGCCAAAUAGCAACCUUAAUGAUAUCCCCACGAAUGAAAUCACAUGUUCAAUCCCCUCCUUAUCCUUAAUGAACCUCAGUGCUGAUAACGAGAAUCAGAAACAACAAAAAAUAAUAAUAAUGCGAAACAAAGGGAGUAGAGUUCGUUACCGACCCGAAGCCACUUCGAUCUGGCCAUGAAUCACCCACGGGCGUGAUCCUCUUUCAUCGUCACGAACCUCUGUCACCACCGAGAGUCAUCACGAACCUCCGUCACCACCGAGAGCCAUCACGAGUCGCGUCAAUGGAGGAUUUACGACGUCGCGAACCAGUGGCGCUUCGCUCCUAAUCGCGAAGCUACUAGAAGCCAAGAAGAAGACGUCCUUGAGGUCUUACCAUGUCGGCACGGCCAGCUCCGUUCCAGCCGUGAAUGCAUCUCCAUUGUCGUGAAAGAGAUGGAGGAGAUAAGGAGAGACGGUGGCCUUCUCAUCACCGUUAAGAACGAAGAAGAAAGACGAAUGGGCGGAUAACCACCGCAACUCGCUAUGAACCCUCGUAAACCACCACCGAAAAAAUAGAGAAGAAGAGAAAUAGGGAUUUCAUCCCUUUAGGUAUAGUUUAGAAAAUGGGGGUAACCGUAUG
Molecule: long non-coding RNA, 2085 nt
Filed under: Lupinus angustifolius (narrow-leaved blue lupine)
Lineage: Eukaryota; Viridiplantae; Streptophyta; Magnoliopsida; Fabales; Fabaceae
Description: long non-coding RNA (LANG_LNC002980)
Source: RNAcentral